GAAAGCAGGAAAAUAAGCACAAAAUGGGCUGGUCCUAAGAAGCAUUGGGAAAGAGCCAGCAUUUCAUGCUUAUCAUACUCACAGAGAAAACUGAAGCCAAGUAGAUCACAGUGUGUCAAAAGACCAGCAACAGGCAAGAAGUUAAUAAGGAAGAACAGUUGUAACUCUCAAAGCCAUCCGUCUUCAGGGAUAGAAUCUAGGCAGCAGUAUGAAAAUGCUCCUCAAGGUUAUAACA
Candoia aspera is the source of this 235-nucleotide long non-coding RNA. RefSeq lists it as uncharacterized. Lineage: Eukaryota; Metazoa; Chordata; Lepidosauria; Squamata; Candoiidae. The record is from RefSeq and is a predicted model, not a curated record. The transcript has 3 exons.